AAUAGAUACCCUGGUAGUCCACGCCUUAAACGAUGUCUACUAGUUGUUGGUGGAGUAAAAUCCAUUAGUAACGCAGCCAACGCGUGAAGUAGACCGCCUGGGGAGUACGGUCGCAAGAUUAAAACUCAAAGGAAUUGACGGGGGGCCCGCACAAGCGGUGGAUUAUGUGGAUUAAUUCGAUGCAACGCGAAAAACCUUACCUGGCCUUGACAUGCCACUAACGAAGCAGAGAUGCAUUAGGUGCCCGAAAGGGAAAGUGGACACAGGUGCUGCAUGGCUGUCGUCAGCUCGUGUCGUGAGAUGUUGGGUUAAGUCCCGCAACGAGCGCAACCCUUGCCAAUAAUUGCCAUCAUUCAGUUGGGCACUUUAUUGGGACUGCCGGUGACAAACCGGAGGAAGGUGGGGAUGACGUCAAGUCCUCAUGGCCCUUAUGGCCAGGGCUUCACACGUAAUACAAUGGUCGGUACAGAGGGUAGCCAAGCCGCGAGGUGGAGCCAAUCCCAGAAAGCCGAUCGUAGUCCGGAUUGCAGU
This 531-nucleotide ribosomal RNA is filed under the name uncultured bacterium. RNAcentral describes it as "bacterial SSU rRNA". It matches the Rfam family "Bacterial small subunit ribosomal RNA", at positions 777 to 1304 of the family's 1533-position model. The record is from RNAcentral.